Equus caballus (horse) is the source of this 4211-nucleotide long non-coding RNA. The record is from Ensembl. Lineage: Eukaryota; Metazoa; Chordata; Mammalia; Perissodactyla; Equidae.
GUUGCCUGAGAGUAGAACUGUAUUUGAGAUAUGGAAAUGCCUAUCUUAUAUAUAAAAAGCAUUGUUGUUACCUGGCUGAGCUCCAGUUCCGCUUCCUUGGUGAUUGGGACCAUCCUCCACAUCCUGUGUGGACUGGGGCUCUUCCUCCUGUUCCUUCCCUCCCUCCAGAGGAAUUUGCCCUUACAACCACCUUACAAAAGGAGAAACGUCAGGAAGCGUCAAAUGAAGCUGAGAGGGAGGAGCAGCAGGAGCAGGAAGAAAAAGGGAGCUUUGAAAGCUUAUAGAGCUGGCCGGAAGGACCUGGCAGAAGUGGGGGGCCUGAUGUCCCUUUUGCAAAGCUCCCCGGGGAGGCUGUCUUGUAAGGGAUGCUUCCAUCUCUUGUCAUCUCAAGAUUCCCCUGGGGAGGCAUGCAAGACAGCAUCUGCUAGAGUUCACCAGCCAUGCGGGAAGACUGUGGAAGGUGCUCCUCUCACCAUGAAUCCAGCACUUUCCCUGGCUCUUCUGACCAGCCCACUCUACCUUUGGCCUCCACUCUGCCAGCAGAACCUGCAUCUGCCUUGACCAGAACUCCACUAGGCCCUUUUUCCACGAGCUCAGCUCUAGCUCACUCCUGUUUCCCAUCUACCAACUCAGGCCACAGCCCCACGAGCUGUCGCAUUGCGUUCCUCAGCAAAUCUAUGAAUUAUCCUUUUGUUGGUUUGAGUCAAGGGUGGAGGAAAUGCCCUGUAGAAAGUUCCAACCAUGCCAGGUCUUCGUUUUCUUACUGGACAUGGGCUAGUUUAGGAGCAUCAUGUGAUGGAGCAUAAAGGGUGGACUUUGAGGACAACCGGGUCUGGGGUUGAACGAAAGCUUAGCCAUUCGUGAACUGCCUGAUCUAAGACAUGUUCUUAACCAUUCUGAAUUUCAGUUUCUCAAUCCGGGUAAAGAGAAUAAUAAGAUUUACCAGUAGGAGUUAUAGGACUUAGUUUCUUUUCUGGUUCUCUGAUCUACUCUCUAAUUUUUGCAAGUCAUGUGACCUCUUCAGACCUACCUAUCUUUGAGCGAAAAUGAAGGUCUUAUUGGUUCUCCAAAGGAAUAUGAUUUUGUCCCACCCGGGGGCAUCUGAAAGUGUGUGUGGUGUUUUUUGAUUGUCAUGAAACUAAGGGAAUCAAGAACGUAAAGUGCUCUGUAAGGGGGAGGACAGUCCCAUACAACAGAGAAUUGUUCCAUCAGAAAAUCAACGUAGCCCUGUUGUGAAACCCAAUUAGAACAUCUCUGAAGUCUUUGUCACCUUAACAUUUCAUCAUUUUACUCUAUGUCAUUGUUUCCUUACAAUUAUGAUGGAUGAACUAGAUAACUAAAUGCUAUGAGCCACCCUGCCACACAUGAGCAUGUUUAUCAAAAUGAAGGAUGGUGGAAUAAAGAACUGGCUUUUUUUGGGUUGGAGUAAAGGGCUCAAGGCAAGUCUCAGAGCGUGUGAGACAGAAGCUUCCCUGGAAAUAUUUCCUAAAGUGCUCACUAUGGAAAGUAAAGGAAACCUAUAUUUCAUGAGCAGAGUUGCAGGUAAUCUGACAUGGGUUAUCCCACUAAUCCACAUAGCAAUUCUAUGUGAUGUGUCCUAUUUUCCUCAUUUUACAGAUGAAAUCUACUCAUAGCUCCAGCGAUUUUUUUUUCCAAUCUGGGUGACUUGAAUUGUGUGUGUGUGUGUAUUUCAAAAGACAUGGAAAAGUACAACAUAGAGAAUAGAUUAAAAUGCUACACAUUGUUCUGGGUGCCCCCAAUCUGCCUUUAUGUCACAGGGCCCAGCACCCCUCACCACCACAUGUGGGUUCUGAACACCUCCACUUGUCAGCAUCCAGACCUAACUGACCUGAGGCCUUGGAGAAAAGAGAACAUCUUUCCUCUGCCUCUGCUAAGAGCCACAUCUUAUGCUCCCACCUCCUUCCCCGGGACUGACCUCUUUCCAGGACGACUGGUGGUCAGACUGUCCAUUCCUUUUAGGGGAAACUCCAACCUCCACCUCCCAGGAGUGUAGUUUUGUUCUUUAGCCCCAAAAGAUGUCAGAACACAUUUCUAUAUCAGCAGGUUUUCCAAGUAAGUUAUUCAAUCUUUAAUAACACCAUGUGGGGUCAGCCACAAUCCCAUCCAUGUCCCUUUGCUCCAAGCAAAGUUCCUUGGCUCUGUCUCUGCUCCAGCAUAAGGAAAGAGAAGAUUUGGGAUCUCUUUGGGAUCUCUGCUCCUGACCUGGGAGCAAUAAUACAUAUUGUUCCAGUGUUUGGAGCAGUGACAUGCAAAACAUCAUGGCCCAGAUGUGGACUUAGAAAAGCCCCACUGAAACAAAGAUAAUGGGUGGUAAGACAGCUCUGCCCACAGUGAUGGUCCUUGUGUACAUAAUUAGACAAAUGGUUCAGUUUAUAACUCUCCAUUCCAGAAGAGGGUCUUCACUUCACCUUUCUUUACUAAAGCCUGUUGUGCCUAGUUCCCCCAGAACAAAGGAACAGCCAACUCAACAAAUUAAAACUCAGGAGACUGAAAACAACAAGUUUUUCGAGUUUCAGCUCACCAAGUGUUCAAAUUUUGGAGUAUAAUAUCAGUCAAGAUCAUUUGUUACAAUCCCACAAACACACACUGAUUGCCUGUUAAGUGCCAGGUACAAUGCCAAGUCUUAAAAGACAAAAAUAAUUAUGAAAAAAGGACUCCGGACUCAGGAAUAAACAUGUAUAGAAACUAAGUCACAAGAUCUUGAACAACCCACUCUAGCAACAAACCUUUACUGCUAUAUACCUCUUUGUCAAGCCCAAGAGUGCUGAUCCCAGUAAACCCAAGCCAUCCCUGAUAGGCAUACUUAGAAAAAGAGGAAUGGGGUGGAAAUGGGAUAGUUGAAAAUAGAAAAUGGAGGUAAAUCGUAGAGCAUUUCUGCAAUGAAGCCUCAGGAAGAUAAAGGAAGCUGAGAGAAGGCUACUUCCUUAGGAUUGUACUCUGGGAUCGUACAGAAGCAAGGGACUGAGACAUCCAUAAGAAGGCUUGACAGCCAGGGCUGAGCAGAGACACAAGGCGCCCUGGGAAGGCCGACAGUGUAGCACUUCUUCAGACCAAUGUUACUUUUAAAAAUGUCUCAACAUGUAUUUAGUGAAGUUAGGGUUAGGGGCUUUUUAUUAGUGAAAGUGCAUAUAAUUCCUCCUCCUCCUCAAACUCCUCCUCCUGCUCUUUCUUCUGCUUUCCUUGUCAAAUAAUUCAGUCCUAAAGCUAUCUGGUGAGGCAGCACAAGGUAGGCUUCCUCACUAUUGGGGGGAAGAGCCAUAAUAGCCCCAAGCAGGGUAUCAGAGCUCACAAGGAGAACACAGUGUCACACAUGGGGACAGCCCAGUAGGACACAUCAGGGCUCUAGCAUGAGGAGGAGGGCCCCCCCACAGGGGAGGCCCCAGGUAGGGCGUUGGGGCAAGGGUGAGAGGAUGUCUUUGUGGAAAGACAGCCUGGCAAGGGCUGUCGGCACUCUGGGACUAAGGAGGGCAUCUGGGCAGAGGAAAGGAUGGCAGCAGAGAUGCUAGAUUGGUUACAUACAAGAGGGUUGAUCAAAAGAGGCAAUAAAAUAAAGAUAAUGGAGCCAGGCUUCUCAUGCAGAAGAGAGGUACACAUACGGGAAGGAAUGCCUGAACACUAUAGUGAUGGAUUGGUAUUGGAAGUAUUGGUGUGAAGUCAUGGUUCUCAAUAGAUAUAGGUAGAGAAAUAUAGACAUAAGUGUGUUUGUAUACAUACAUAUAUCAAGAGGGAGAGAAUCCAUCCACCAAAAAGGCCUGGGAGCAACAAUACCCCAGUAACAAUGAGCACACAUGGCACCCAGAUCUUGAGUCCUAAACACCAUUCUCCACUCAAAGGAACCAGGGCUCCUUGAGAGGAAAUGACUGACUCCACCCUGGGGCAGGGAAUGUAAAGAUGAGCUUGGACCAUGUUAUGCGAGAAAACAAGAAGUGCUCACAGAGUGAGGGACAUGCCAAAAGGACACAGAAGCCAGCCUGAAUGGGGGCCAAAAACAAGAACAAUUUAUCAAGAUAAAUUAUGGUAGUAAUCGAUUAUUACCCAAACACACGAGCCCAUAUUCAUAUUGAGAAAACAAUCAAUAAAUUGUAAGAUGAAGAUGCGCACAUAGUUUCAGAGUCUCUCCCCACAAAAUACUUUCUAAUUACAAAGGGGAAAAGACAAGCUUCAGAGGUGAAAAAGUUCUCUGUGCUGUA